This 1685-nucleotide small RNA is filed under the name Pan troglodytes (chimpanzee). Its description in RNAcentral is "retained intron". Lineage: Eukaryota; Metazoa; Chordata; Mammalia; Primates; Hominidae. The record is from RNAcentral.
GAGCAGAUGGGAGGUGCGGCGACAGUGUUUGACGAGAGCCGAAGGAGGCUGUGGGAGGUGUUGGCGGCGGCGGCGCGGGCGCCUGAGGAGGAGGAGGAGGAGGAGAAGCGGAUGAGAUCGUGGGGCUCACCAGCGUCCCCCAUGGCUUCUGAGUAGCGUGGGAGUGGAGUCAGCACCAAGCCAGGCUCCCCGCGCCUGCCUUGGCCUCACCUGCUCCUGCUCUCUGCCAGAGGCAGCAUGGUCCGCAGGGCACCAUGGGGCCCGACAGAGUGACAGCACGAGAACUGUGCGAGAACGACGACCUGGCCACCAGCCUCGUCCUGGACCCCUACCUCGGUUUCCGCACCCAUAAGAUGAACGUCAGCCCUGUGCCCCCCCUGCGGCGACAGCAGCACCUGCGCUCAGCGCUGGAAACUUUCCUGAGGCAGCGGGACCUGGAGGCUGCGUACCGGGCCCUGACGCUGGGAGGCUGGACGGCCCGCUACUUCCAGAGCCGGGGCCCGCGGCAGGAGGCUGCCCUCAAGACCCACGUCUAUCGCUACCUCCGUGCCUUCCUGCCGGAAAGUGGCUUUACCAUCCUGCCCUGCACGCGCUACUCCAUGGAGACCAACGGGGCCAAGAUCGUGUCCACUCGUGCUUGGUAAGAGGGCAGGACUCCCUGCGGGUAUCCUUAGAGGAGACAGAGCUCAGAGGGGACAAGAGAGACCCUCUGUUCAUGGACUGGCCAACCGGGGAAAAGCGAGGGGCCUGGUCCUCCGGGCAUCCUAGGAAGGUGGUGGGGCUAAUCCCGGAAGACCUUUGUGGCUACCGUGGUGCCGCUGGAGCAGGAGACCCCGGAUGUGACCCCAGGGUUCCUGGGGCUUCCAGGAAAGAACUAGGCUUCUGCUCAGGGCUGUGCUGUCCUUACCUCCUUGUGACCUGAGCCCCCACCACAUGUUAAACACCCCUGAGUGCAGUGAGGAGCCCCUGCCCCUGCCCCUGUCCCUGUCCCUGCCCCUGUCCCUGCCCCUGCCCCUGCCCCUGCCCCUGCCCCUGUCCCUGUCCCUGCCCCUGCCCCUGCGGGGUUCACAGUCUGGUGAGGAGGUGGGGGGCAGACAAGUCAACAUGCAGUUACUGGUCCCAGCUGGUACAUGCUGCAGGGGAGCUGUGAGGAAUGAGCAAGUGCUCCCAGGGCGAGGCUCACACUGACAGGGGAAGCACCCGCCUGAGGGUCUGGUGGGGCGAGUAGGGGGUAGUCCAGGCAGGAGGGAACUGGGGGCAGGAGGUGCUAUGAGAGCGAGGGGAGAGAAUGGGGGCUGUAUCUGCUGUGUGCGUGCUGUCCUGAAGGCUUUCAGUAGAAGGGUCCUGUGGGGCUGUGGGCUGGAGCAGGGAAGCCCACCCAGGCGGGAGGGGAAGAGGGAGAUCUGGAAGAUGGAUCGCCAAUAGCCAGCACCAGCGCCCAGGAGUCCCUCCUUCCUGGGUGCCUCUGUGCCGGAGGUCCGAGUCCCCUGAACACCUGCAGGAGGCCAGGCAUCGCCCACAGCCCCGCCCCCUGGCCUCUUGGCAGGAAAAAGAAUGAGAAGCUGGAGCUGCUGGUGGGCUGCAUUGCAGAGCUGCGGGAGGCAGAUGAGGGGCUGCUGAGGGCCGGUGAGAAUGACUUCAGCAUCAUGUACUCAACCCGCAAGCGGAGUGCUCAGCUGUGGCUG